RNAcentral lists this ribosomal RNA (212 nucleotides) under Picochlorum sp. RCC944. RNAcentral's name for it is "partial Eukaryotic large subunit ribosomal RNA". It matches the Rfam family "Eukaryotic large subunit ribosomal RNA", at positions 652 to 870 of the family's 3401-position model. Lineage: Eukaryota; Viridiplantae; Chlorophyta; Trebouxiophyceae. The record is from RNAcentral.
UCUUGUAACACGGACCAAGGAGUCGAGGUUUUGCGCGAGUGUUUGGGUGUAAAACCCGCACGCGUAAUGAAAGUGAACGUAGGUGAGAGCUUCGGCGCAUCAUCGACCGAUCCUGAUGUAUUCGGAUGGAUUUGAGUAAGAGCGUAUAGCCUCGGACCCGAAAGAUGGUGAACUAUGGCUGAGCAGGGUGAAGCCAGAGGAAACUCUGGUGG